RNAcentral lists this ribosomal RNA (268 nucleotides) under Paenibacillus glucanolyticus. RNAcentral describes it as "partial 16S ribosomal RNA". It matches the Rfam family "Bacterial small subunit ribosomal RNA", at positions 1 to 255 of the family's 1533-position model. The record is from RNAcentral. Lineage: Bacteria; Bacillati; Bacillota; Bacilli; Caryophanales; Paenibacillaceae.
UUUUUGGAGAGUUUGAUCCUGGCUCAGGACGAACGCUGGCGGCGUGCCUAAUACAUGCAAGUCGAGCGGACUUUAAGGAGUGCUUGCACUCCUGAUGGUUAGCGGCGGACGGGUGAGUAACACGUAGGCAACCUGCCCUCAAGACUGGGAUAACUACCGGAAACGGUAGCUAAUACCGGAUAAUUUAUUACAUAGCAUUAUGUAAUAAUGAAAGACGGAGCAAUCUGUCACUUGGGGAUGGGCCUGCGGCGCAUUAGCUAGUUGGUGG